RNAcentral lists this long non-coding RNA (721 nucleotides) under Malus domestica (apple). RNAcentral's name for it is "long non-coding RNA (MDOM_LNC001184)". The record is from RNAcentral. Lineage: Eukaryota; Viridiplantae; Streptophyta; Magnoliopsida; Rosales; Rosaceae.
UAUUUAUCUUGAUUGUUGAUUUUAGUUUAGUUAUGUGAUUUAAUAGAUACGAAACUAAAAGAGUUAAAAAUCAUACUUUACAUGCAUAUAGGCUAUAUCGAAAAUUUUGAAAUUAUGUUUUUCUCUAAUGCAACUGAGAUUUAGGACUCAAAUAUAAGAUUUGAGUCUAAACAUGAGUUUAAUCAUUUCCAUUACACCGGAGACUUACAACUUAUAUUUAAGUUUCCGAUCAAAUGAGACCCAAAUUUGAGAGAGAAUAUAUGAUUUGAGUCCAAUGGAGCCCAAGCUAAUAAGGAAAAUGUUAUUCAUAAAAAAAUAAAAAUAAAAAUUUGUGUUUUAAGUUCAAUCAUCUUCAAUACACAUGCUCAAGUAAUCAAAUUAAACUCCAAUGCUUUCCCCUCUAAUGUAAAAAAUUCAAAUCCGAAAUUUCAAAGUACAAUAAUAUAUGUCUAAGAAUAUAAGUCCUUGCAUCGGACAAAAGAAUUAAAAACUUCAAAAUAUAAGAAAAUAGGUUUAGAAUUUGAAUCUUUGCAUUAGAGAUGCUUUUAAAGCCUCAAAAAUAUUUCGACCAAGCUAUUUGUUAAAAACUUUGUUUCUUUACCCUCCCUUAAAGACUAAAACUAACCUCAUAAUUUUCUUUGCCUAGUUUCCAUUGCUUGAGACUCCCUAGAAGACAACUUGAGCCCAACCCUCUAGUAAAUAUUGUUCAAAAAAAAGAAAC